CUGAAUGGGAACUCCACCUACUGCCUGUUGACCAAGCAUUAAAUAUUUUGGAGGUUCAAAAGCCUCUGAGCUUGUCAUAAUGGGCUUGCUUUCAGACCUCAAAAUCCCAGUACACCCUGAAACUAUGAUGCAGACAUUCAGAGGCAGCAGCACAAGAUUGCAGUUUUGGAAGUAAGUCACAUGAUAAAAUGGACUCGGUGUGGAGCUACCAUUUUUGGGUGAUACAGGCAACAGCAGAGGCAUCACCUUUCCACAACAGCAGUGACAGACGUGGCCCCGUAGUGGCUGCAGAAUCAAAAUUCCUAUCCCAGAACUGGCAGCAGCUAGACAGCUUAGUGGUGGAAGACUGACAGUUCUCAUAUAUGAUUUGAGGCAUAUUACUUGGAAGCUUAUCCUUAAGCCUGGCUCUCCAGCCUUCCUAAAAAUUCUGUGAAGCACCAAAUAUAUUUAAGUAAAUUUCCUAUGUGCUCAACCAGCCAGUAAACAACUUCUGCUGACUGAAAACACUGAAUCGUCCAAUCAUGAAGCCAAAAGAAUGUGGCUGUAUAACAAGAAAAAUAAAUCCAUGUAUCUACAGUAUGGAGUUAAAGUGCCAAGAAAAGUUGUCAAGGUAACUCUUGAUAGGUAAAGGUGAAGCAGAAUUAUACACAUCUUCAAACGCUCUGCUAAGUAAAGAGCCUGGCCUUCAUUCAGCAUGAAAUGUGGUAUCACUGAGCUUCCAAACAAAGGAGUGAAUGAUAUGAUCAAAAAAAUUGUACUUAAGAUGACU
This 769-nucleotide long non-coding RNA is filed under the name Homo sapiens (human). RNAcentral describes it as "HSALNT0112338". Lineage: Eukaryota; Metazoa; Chordata; Mammalia; Primates; Hominidae. The record is from RNAcentral.